RNAcentral lists this ribosomal RNA (399 nucleotides) under uncultured bacterium. RNAcentral describes it as "partial 16S ribosomal RNA". It matches the Rfam family "Bacterial small subunit ribosomal RNA", at positions 360 to 776 of the family's 1533-position model. The record is from RNAcentral.
AAUAUGUGACAAUGGGUGCAAGCAUGAUCCAGCCAUGCCGCGUGAGUGAUGAAGGNAUNNGGGUUNUNAAGCUCUUGCAGCGGNNNNNCUAAUGACGGUCCUCGCCGAAGAAGCCCCGGCUCACUUCGUGCCACCAGCCGCGGUAAUACGAAGGGGGCUAGCGUUGUUCGGAAUUAGUGGGCGUAAAGGGCGCGUAGGCGGACUGUUAAGUCAGGGGUGAAGGCCCGGGGCUCAACCCCAGAACUGCCUUUGAUACUGGCGCUCUUGAGUUCGGGAGAGGUGAAUGGAAUUCCGAGUGUAGAGGUGAAAUUCGUAGAUAUUCGGAGGAACACCAGUGGCGAAGGCGGCUCACUGGACCGAUACUGACGCUGAGGCGCGAAAGCGUGGGGAGCAAACAGG